RNAcentral lists this long non-coding RNA (681 nucleotides) under Salmo salar (Atlantic salmon). RNAcentral's name for it is "lncRNA (ENSSSAG00000116473.1)". The record is from RNAcentral. Lineage: Eukaryota; Metazoa; Chordata; Actinopteri; Salmoniformes; Salmonidae.
GUAGAGACAGAGAGAGAGAGAGGGUAGAGACAGAGAGAGAGAGAGGGUAGAGACAGAGAGAGAGAGGGUAGAGACAGAGAGAGGGUAGAGACAGAGAGAGGGUAGAGACAGAGAGAGAGAGGAGACAGAGAGAGAGAGAGAGAGAGAGAGGGUAGAGACAGAGAGAGAGAGGGUAGAGACAGAGAGAGAGGGUAGAGACAGAGAGAGAGAGAGGGUAGAGACAGAGAGAGAGAGAGGGUAGAGACAGAGAGAGAGAGGGUAGAGACAGAGAGAGGGUAGAGACAGAGAGAGAGAGGGUAGAGACAGAGAGAGAGAGAGAGAGAGGGUAGAGACAGAGAGAGAGAGGGUAGAGACAGAGAGAGAGAGGGUAGAGACAGAGAGAGAGAGGGUAGAGACAGAGAGAGAGAGGGUAGAGACAGAGAGAGAGAGAGGGUAGAGACAGAGAGAGAGAGAGGGUAGAGACAGAGAGAGAGAGAGGGUAGAGACAGAGAGAGAGAGAGGGUAGAGACAGAGAGAGAGAGAGGACACAGAGAGAGAGAGAGAGAGAGAGAGGGUAGAGACAGAGAGAGAGAGGACAGAGAGAGAGAGAGAGAGAGGGUAGAGACAGAGAGAGGGUAGAGACAGAGAGAGAGAGGGUAGAGACAGAGAGAGAGAGGGUAGAGACAGAGAGAGAGAGAGGGU